UUAUACCGUGAAACUGCGAAUGGCUCAUUAAAUCAGUUAUCGUUUAUUUGAUAGUACCUUACUACUUGGAUAACCGUGGUAAUUCUAGAGCUAAUACAUGCUGAAAACCCCGACUUCGGGAGGGGUGUAUUUAUUAGAUAAAAAACCAACGCCCUUCGGGGCUUCUUGGUGAUUCAUGAUAACUUCACGGAUCGCAUGGCCUUGCGCCGGCGACGGUUCAUUCAAAUUUCUGCCCUAUCAACUUUCGAUGGUAAGGUAUUGGCUUACCAUGGUUUCAACGGGUAACGGGGAAUUAGGGUUCGAUUCCGGAGAGGGAGCCUGAGAAACGGCUACCACAUCCAAGGAAGGCAGCAGGCGCGCAAAUUACCCAAUCCCGACACGGGGAGGUAGUGACAAUAAAUACUGAUACAGGGCUCUUUUGGGUCUUGUAAUUGGAAUGAGUACAAUUUAAACCUCUUAACGAGGAACAAUUGGAGGGCAAGUCUGGUGCCAGCAGCCGCGGUAAUUCCAGCUCCAAUAGCGUAUAUUAAAGUUGUUGCAGUUAAAAAGCUCGUAGUUGAAACUUGGGCCUGGCUGGCAGGUCCGCCUCACCGCGUGUACUUGUCCGGCCGGGCCUUUCCUUCUGGAGAACCUCAUGCCCUUCACUGGGUGUGCUGGGGAACCAGGACUUUUACUUUGAAAAAAUUAGAGUGUUCAAAGCAGGCCUUUGCUCGAAUACGUUAGCAUGGAAUAAUAGAAUAGGACGUGCGGUCCUAUUUUGUUGGUUUCUAGGACCGCCGUAAUGAUUAAUAGGGACAGUCGGGGGCAUCAGUAUUCAAUUGUCAGAGGUGAAAUUCUUGGAUUUAUUGAAGACUAACUACUGCGAAAGCAUUUGCCAAGGAUGUUUUCAUUAAUCAGUGAACGAAAGUUAGGGGAUCGAAGACGAUCAGAUACCGUCGUAGUCUUAACCGUAAACUAUGCCGACUAGGGAUCGGGCGAUGUUCUUUUUCUGACUCGCUCGGCACCUUACGAGAAAUCAAAGUUUUU
Molecule: ribosomal RNA, 1026 nt
Filed under: fungal sp. HS103 LX-2016
Lineage: Eukaryota; Fungi
Description: SSU rRNA
Rfam family: Eukaryotic small subunit ribosomal RNA
Source: RNAcentral